This 497-nucleotide ribosomal RNA is filed under the name uncultured bacterium. RNAcentral's name for it is "partial 16S ribosomal RNA". It matches the Rfam family "Bacterial small subunit ribosomal RNA", at positions 28 to 507 of the family's 1533-position model. The record is from RNAcentral.
GAUGAACGCUGGCGGCGUGCCUAAUACAUGCAAGUCGAGCGAACAGACGAGGGGCUUGCUCCUCUGACGUUAGCGGCGGACGGGUGAGUAACACGUGGAUACCCUCCCUAUAAGACUGGGAUAACUUCGGGAAACCGGAGCUAAUACCGGAUAAUAUAUUGAACCGCAUGGUUCAAUAGUGAAAUACGGUUUUGCUGUCACUUAUAGGUGGAUCCGCGCCGCAUUAGCUAGUUGGUAAGGUAACGGCUUACCAAGGCAACGAUGAGUAGCCGACCUGAGAGGGUGAUCGGCCACACUGGAACUGAGACACGGUCCAGACUCCUACGGGAGGCAGCAGUAGGGAAUUUUCCGCAAUGGGCGAAAGCCUGCCGGAGCAACGCCGCGUGAGUGAUGAAGGUCUUCGGAUCGUAAAACUCUGUUAUUAGGGAAGAACAAAUGUGUAAGUAACUAUGCACGUCUUGACGGUACCUAAUCAGAAAGCCACGGCUAACUACGUG